RNA transcript from Sebastes umbrosus (honeycomb rockfish), 7355 nucleotides. It is a transcript of the gene named protein phosphatase 6, regulatory subunit 2b, with no coding region annotated. The record is from RefSeq and is a predicted model, not a curated record. The transcript has 27 exons. Lineage: Eukaryota; Metazoa; Chordata; Actinopteri; Perciformes; Sebastidae.
UCAUGUUUACACCAGGGUUUACACAGUUGAUGGACAGCUGAACUUUUGAUUACGUUUUAGGUAUCCGCCAUUUUGAUUUUUCAAAUCUGACAGCUUUCUUGUUGCCUGCCUGCUGGAGGAUAAUCUGGAGAGUGUCAACAACACCACACAGCCUGCUCGGCUCGGCAAGCCAACCGCUGAGUAAGCGUAAAUUAAAUGACAUUGCAACCGGGGGAACGGGGUAGUAAGUAGUAUCUUCAAGCUAUAACAACGCAGCAGUCAUGAACAGCCGUCUGUGUCUGUGGGCCUCUGGUUGACCUGACAACAGCCUGAAAGUCGACCGUUCAGCUUGUAGAUGACGUCUGAUGACAAUGAUGGAUAAAAGGUUGAAGCCAAUCUCUCCUUGGUUUGUGUGUCUGCUGUUAGUAUGAAUGAACUGGAUGCGUUUGUGUCUUCAUCGUGUGAAUUUGCUGAUGCUGAUUGAUGUCCAGGCCAUGCGAUGUCAAUAAGGCAAAUGGCUGUUUAGCAAGAUCUGACUGAGGAUACUACUCCUUGUCCAUAUCUAAAGUGUAUGUGCCGGUGACGUCAGCCAUGUUUUGGAAGUUUGACUUACACACAUCUUCUCACCUGGAGGCUUUACUGGACAAGGAGGAUGUCACGCUCAUUGAGCUCAUGGAUGAGGAAGAUGUGUUGCAGGAGUGCAAGGCCCAGAACAGGAGACUUCUCCUGUUUGUGUGCCAGGACCAGUGCAUGCUGGACCUGGUCCAUAUGAUCACUACAGAGCCCCCUGCUGGUGUAGAGGAGACAAAGCGCUUCAAGUAUCCAAAUAUAGCAUGUGAGCUGUUGACAUGUGAUGUGGGAGUGAUCAAUGAUAAACUGGGUAAUGAGGAGCCUUUGCUUGAAAAUCUGUAUGCCUUCCUGGAGCAGCCGUCCCCACUUAACCCCCUCCUGGCAUCUUUCUUUAGCAAGACAAUUGGGAACCUCAUCACACGGAAGACUGAGCAGGUGAUUAGUUUCUUGCGACGGAAGGAGGGAUUCCUUUCCUUGGUCCUGAAGCAUAUUGAUACAUCUGCCAUGAUGGAUGUGCUGCUAAGACUUAUCAGCUGUGUGGAGCCACCCCCUCUUCGGCUCGAGACACUUAUUUGGCUGAAUGAAGAGAAGCUGGCCCAGAGACUCAUAGAGCUCAUUCACCCUGAGAGAGAUGAAGAGAGGCAGUCUAAUGCAUCUCAGACUUUGUGCGACAUCAUUCGUCUGAGCAGAGACCAGGCCAAUCAGCUCCAAGAGAUUUCACAGCCUGACCCUUUACUGACUGUACUGGAGUCGCAGGAGUGUGUGGAGCAGUUGCUGCAGAACAUGUUCUCAGCAGAGUGUAGUGAGAGCUGCAUCAUCAAUGGAAUUCAAGUUCUUCUCACGUUACUGGAAAUCAGGAGGCCUGUGGUGGAUGGUGUAAUGGAUGCUCAGGGAUUUGAGAGAAGUUACACUGUUAACAGCAGCAUUUUGUUGGCCAUCCAACCACACCUCAUACACUUCCACCAGCUACUUCUGGAGCCACCCAAGCGAAAUCCCAUGCUGACUACUCUGGGUGUGCUGGAGGAACCAUUAGGGAACACACGUCUGCACGUAGCCAGACUGGUGGCCUCUCUGCUGUAUACGAGCUCUGCUAGCCACGCUGUAGUAGCACAGGAACUUUGCCGACUCAACACAAUGGACCUGCUUCUGGACUUGUUCUUCAAGUAUACAUGGAACAACUUCCUGCACCUUCAAGUGGAGCUUUGUGUUGCUGCUAUCCUCCGGCCCUGUGCCCAUGAAAUGAGACUUCAGCCUGGUUUGGGAUCCCAGGACAAAUUCACGCCUCAUCAGGAUGCUUCACAAGAGCAGGCUUUGACUGACACCCAUUCUUCCCCUACAGCCACCCCGGAACACUCUGCACAUAAUCUAAUGGUGACUCAUUUGUUCCAACACUGCCACCUUGUCCAGAGGAUUCUGGAGGCCUGGGAAGAAAAUGAUAAAAUACAGUCAGAAGGUGGUAUGAGAAGAGGGUACAUGGGACAUCUGACCAGGAUUGCCAACACAGUAGUCCACAACCUGGAGAAGGGCCCGGUUCACACACAGAUUAGUAGCCUCAUCACAGAGCUACCAGAGGACUAUAGAGGGCGCUGGGAAACCUUUGUGGACCAGACCCUGUCUGAAACAAAUAGGAGGAACACCAUAGACCUGGUUGGCACUGGAAACCCACGCCCUUGCUCAGAGGAUGAUAUGGAGAGCCCCUUCCCUAAAGAACUGACACUACAGCAGGCCUUUUCAGAUUACCAGAUCCAGCAGAUGACGGCUAACUUUGUGGAUCAGUUUGGCUUCAAUGAUGAGGAGUUUACUGAUCAUGACGACAGCAUUGGAGCAACGUUUGACCGAAUUGCAGAGAUCAACAUCAACAUUGAUCCAGGCCAGGAUCCCACUGCUAAUACAGCUGUGUUUGAGACCUGUGCCAAGGAGAGGAUUCAGCCCUUUGAUGAUGAUGAAGAAGACAUUUGGGAGGAGAAAGAGAUCAACUUUGCAACACAAACAAAGUCCCGUAACAGGUUUGGUGGGUCACGAUCAUCCCAGAGCCCAGCAGCCAGUAAAGAUUGUGAUAGGACAGCAGCUUCUGGCACCGAGGCCUCUGACACUGCAGCAGACUCAGACUCUGAGGAGGGAGAGGAUCCUAAAGAUGACCUGGAUCCUUUCUCAAACCUGGGCCAGAACGAGGCAGCAAAGAGCACUGAGUGGAUAGCAGACUUCGGGGAGGUGAACUCAAAGGCUCCAGCACCAGGAGUGGGCUUUUCUGCCUGGGACACUCCAGACUCCCAACCAGCUGCCACAGAGGCAGAGGAGAAAGGAUGGGCCAAGUUCACUGACUUCCAGCCUUUCUGUUGCUCUGAAACAGGCCCAAGAUGCAGCUCUCCUGUGGACUCGGAGCUCAGCGGAUCAGGCAACACCAAACCAAACCAGAACCCGUGUGUGUGGAGUGUGUGUGUGGCGAGAAAAGCUCCACUGGUGGCAUCAGACAGCUCCUCCUCCAGCAGCUCAGACAGCGAUGAGGAAGAAGGGAAGACGGAGUCUGCAAGCAGCGACACGGUCACCACAGAAACCAUCACCACGGGGGCUGGCAAGGAGACCAUUCGGCUCACAGUGGACGCCAAAAAUGAAAGGGCAGUCUUCAGCAGAGUAUUCAGACCAGCAGUCAGACGCGAAGCAGAUAAGGUGCCAGUAGAGGGACUCUCCAUCAAAGACAAGGGGAAAAGCGAUGAGAAAGAAAGUGAAAAGGGAAAGAAACAUGAAGACUGUCCCAACCCAACUACUACCAGUCCAACUAACCAGUCGGCUGCUGUCACACAGAUAAAAUGAUGAAGUGACGACAUUUUGUACAGACGUGGAUGUAAACUGUAACUUCAAUGGUUGGCGGAGACACACAACCACGAGGCGAGAGUCGCAGCCCUCUGCUAAUGGACCGGCCUAACGAUGCAACACAGGCACACCACACACACACACACACACAGACACACACACACACACACACACAUGCUUCAUACCUGUCCAUUCAACACGCCGCAAUGCCACCUUUGCUUCCUGUUAGCAGCCCUCCAAUGCCCUUUUUUGUGUCCGAAGAAUGGCAGAUGCUCUGUGUUGAGGUCAAACAGCCCUUAACAGUAUGUAUGCCUGAUGACACAUAUCUACACAUUCUACACAUACUGUAGAUACAUUGAUCUCUCCUGCACCUUCAUGACAUAAUUACAACUGAACCUCUUCAAAGAGGAAUGUGUGUUUUAAAGAACAUUUCAUCGUACCAGACCCCCAAAAGCCAAAUUCUGUUAUAUAUGAACUAUUUUUAAAAUAUGAUUUUCCCAUUGAACUCGAGAGAGAGAGUGACAACAGUCUUACCUGUUGUGAUGAGCAGCGGUUACAGAGUGUUUGAGUGUCAGCUGUGGCAUUUUAAGAAGAUACAUACCUAACUCUGAAAUUUGACCUUUAUUGAAUUCAGCAUCAAAUUUCAGAUUGUUUGAGCAUGUCUGCUCUCUGGGCAAUACAUCACAGCCCAGAGAUUUUUUUCUAUUAGAGCAUUUGACUGUUUACACUUUAGUAGAGAAAACUGUAUUAAAAUAAUCAGCCAAGAUUACAAAAGCCAAGAUGCUUGCAAAGCUAGCUGCCGUUUUCUCUUCUGCAUUUCAAUGUACAUGCCAGGCAAACAUUUUAUUAGUGCAGAUGUGUGAGUGAUAAUAAUUUGGCUUAUUUCAUUCAUGCUACCUAAAUCAUUUCUCAGUCCAAGUAGGAUUUCUUUGCUUUGAUCAUGUGGAUCAUAGAUGCUCUCUUUUUUUUGGUAAUGUGGAGCAUCAGAUUUGGGAGCAUCGUGUGUCUCUUCCUCCUCAAACCUCUGACAGAUCCAUGUAGUUGAGAGGUGUGUGUGUGCUGUUGUAUCCAUGUGUGUGUGUGUAGACAUGUGUGUUUAUGUGUGUUUGAGCUCUGUCUGAGUUACAGAGUGUAUUCUCAGGUCCAAGGAGAGGUAUGCAGAUACAAAAGAAAGCACACCUGUGUAACACACACACACACACACUCAGUUGCCAUACACACAUGGAUACACAGCCAAAUCUAUACACGUGUGCAAAAAACACAGUGAUGUGCACAUACCAAUUCAUAUCACCCUCAGAGCUGUUUAAAUGUAAUAUUGUGAAAUUUGAACCUGUAUUAGGUUGUGGCUAUUCUUGGUAAUAUGUAAACGUAAUAUAAAUGUAAACAGUAUAUAUAAACAUUAUAUCUAUUUUUGGAAUAAAUCCAAUGUAUGGAAAGGCGGUUGUUUUGCAGGUUGCAACGUGUGUAUUGUAUGUGUGUGUUGUACUGUUGAAAUGAGGCAAUAAUGAUGUCUGUGUUUCGGUUAAUACCCCAGCAUCAGUUCCUGUUCCUCUGCUACAUGCUUCCUACAUGGAGGUUUGAGAGUGUGUGGGUGAAUGUGAGUCGGUAGUCUGGGCGGUGGUUCCUCCGUGUUAUUUACUUAAAGGAUAAUUGUGGUUUAUUAGAACUUGGGUCAUAUGGUGCACGAGAAGAGUCCAUAAGAACGCCCCCGUCUUGUGGUAUUCAUGACCUCAUAAGUGGAAAGAUUCUGAAUGCUCCGAGUUCACGAGUUGUUUGUUGACAUUAAAUUUUUCGGUACAUAAUAAAUUAAUAUAUUGUAAUUUUAGUCGUAUAUUGUAAUUCUUCAUAAUUUUAUAAUAUGUCUGAGGAAAAUGUUGAUAUUCCCAACGACCUCAUCUUUUUCCUCCGUUAUUAUGCCUUUGCAUUUCCUGCAUUAUGUUACCCUACUCUUGCUAGCUUGCUAAAUUGUAAGCUUUGUUGUUGGCUUCUAGAUGCCAACAGUAACGUUAAUAUUGCCGUUGCUUAGCAGCGGUGUUCUCACAACUUAUUAUAUUGUUUACACAACUUCCAAUGUUGUAAACACAAGCUCACAUGUUUCAUUUGAAGGCACCAGUAGUUUCAUUCAUCAGAUUAAAACAAAACACCAGGUUAACCGAUCUUGUUCGGAAGAGAAAACACAGGUGAACAUAAUAAAAUAAUACCAAAAUGACUGCUUCAGCUUCUACAUUUUAUCAUAUUAUUUGUGAGCACAAACUUUUCCUAAUGUAAUGUGGGAUUAUUAUCAACUAGAGCUGAACAAAUGUGUUGAUUAAUCCAAUAGUUGAUAAACAGAAGAAUAUUAGGCAACUAUGUUGAUAAUCAAUUAGUCGUUAAAGUCAUUUUUCAGGCACUUUUUCAGUUUCAGUUUCUCAAUUUGCAGCUUUUCUUUGUCUAAUGUUAUAAUAAACUGAAUGUCUUUGGACUGUUGGUCAGAUGGAACAAACAAUUUGAUGGGUUCACUUUGGGUUUUAAGAUAUUGUGAUAUUUUAUAGACCAAAAGAUUAAUCGAUUUAAUCAGUAAACCACUCCUCGGAUUAAUCGGUAAUGAAAAUAAUCGUACGUGGCAGCCGUAAUGUCAACACUUUGGGUGAGCACACAUUCAUGUUGUUUAGAUAAUCUGACUAAACUGUUUUUAAAACCAGUUUGAUUGCUGAUCUUCAUUUUAUCAACUUGUUGAGUACAAUCUAAUCAUAACUGAUAGUAAUCAUGACAAAAACAAGACCCAAGUUGUAAUAAACCAGGAUUAUCCUUUAGGUUUGGGUGUGCCAGACAGUCAUGCUUUACUUUAUCUUUCUCCUCGUCUCUCUCUUUCUCAGGGCAGGAGUUGACUUUAAUUGCAUAUAUGCCUAUGGAACGAUUUACAUAGAUUGUUGUAUUUAUUUAAAAAGCACUUUUUCAAGAAGCACUUUUGGUUUGUAUUUGGUGGUGCCCAGUGCCACCACGUUAUUCCCCACUCAAAGAGGUGGGAAUGUUUGACUUGAACGAGUGAGUUAUGUAGAUAAUUUAGAAUACUUUUUCUUCGAUGCUUUCUGCCAAAGUGUGUCUUCCCACCAGUCUUACAACUGGGUUUCAUAUCUGUGAAGUAGCCUCCUUUCUUGCAAUGGUGUCACAGGUCUAAGUUUAUCUAAAGCAGUCUUUGUUUGAUCCCUUUCAUGUUUUUUUUUCUUCUUUUUAGUCAUGUGAUGGAGUUAGCAGAGGAUGCCACAAGUCAAAGAAAGACUUGAAAGAUUCAUCUUAGAUCACAGAUAUUUUGCUUUUAUCUGUUCAGCACUUUGAGUUGUUUGAAGUGGAGCUGCACAGAGAGAAAGCAUUGGUUUAAGUCAGGGUUAGAGGAGAAAAACAGGGCUGUUUUGUUGUCAGGGUGUGUACAGGGUCAGAAUAUGUCAUCCCGUCUUUCGCCAAACCUAAGCACUGCGUCUGACCCUUACCUUUGUGUUUUGGUGUGUGUGUUUGUGUGUCCUUCACCUUGAGAGUGUGGUGUGUGUGUGCAGUGUAGCUACGGGUACGGUGUGAUGUUAUGCAUAAUGGCAUGAGGUACAAUACAGUCAUCUUUAAGUGCCGUUAAGUUUGCACAUUAGCCUCAUUCACCUCAUUGGGUAUGUGCUGUAUUGUACAGUGUAUGCCCAAAACUUUAAUUGAGAGACAAUGGGUGUUAAAUUGUUUCUUCAUCCCAUUAUCUGUUACUAACACUGAGGCCAUUUCAAAUCUUCCUCGCAUUAUAGCUGAUUACAUUUGUGUGUGUGUAUGUACAGUAUGUGUGUGGAAGUGUGUGUGGGAGUGGUGCGACAGGCAGCCGUGUUGUAAAAUGCCUUUUUUUGUAAAGUGGACUGAUGCUGGUGUUUUUUUUUUCUUUUUUUUUUUUUCAUUUAGGGAGUAAUGUGUCUGUUUCCUGUUGUCAAUUUAGCUUGUACAUUCAGAUAUGAACCUAAUAAAUAUGUCAGACCAAGAAAAACGCA